Molecule: ribosomal RNA, 433 nt
Filed under: uncultured bacterium
Lineage: Bacteria
Description: partial 16S ribosomal RNA
Rfam family: Bacterial small subunit ribosomal RNA
Source: RNAcentral
AACGAACGCUGGCGGCAUGCCUAACACAUGCAAGUCGAACGAGACCUUCGGGUCUAGUGGCGCACGGGUGCGUAACGCGUGGGAACCUGCCCUUAGGUUCGGAAUAACUCCCCGCAAGGGGUGCUAAUACCGGAUAAUGUCUUCGGACCAAAGAUUUAUGGCCUUUGGAUGGGCCCGCGUUGGAUUAGCUGGUUGGUAGGGUAAAAGCCUACCAAGGCGAUGAUCCAUAGCUGGUCUGCGAGGAUGAUCAGCCACACUGGGACUGAGACACGGCCCAGACUCCUGCGGGAGGCAGCAGUGGGGAAUAUUGGACGAUGGGCGAAAGCCUGAUCCAGCAAUGCCGCGUGAGUGAUGAAGGCCUUAGGGUUGUAAAGCUCUUUUACCCGGGAUGAUAAUGACAGUACCGGGAGAAUAAGCUCCGGCUAACUCCGUG